ACAAUUGACAAACUCAUUAAUAUAUCUUUAUGGGUAUUAAUGCUGUAAAGAAAUAAUUUUGUGUUGUAACAACAUGUAAUCAUUCUAAUGACAGCUAAGUAGGGAAUCCUGAUAGGAAUUCUAGAAUAUUCAUUUACUUGUUUGUAUCCUUCAUUGGAUUGUUAAUUCAUCCUUGUUAGUUACUGAGCAUUUACCCUGUGCAGAAGUUGGGGGUACAGCAGGAAACAUCCUGUUCAAAGUCACUGUCUUCUUAUAGCUUCUAUAGAUUCUAUAGUAGGAAAAGCUGGAUGAAUAAACCAUUUAUAAUAGCUUCCCAGACCAUCACAGCUGCCUUAAAGGAGCGACUCAGGAAGCAGAGUCAGCAUUACAUCUAGGAAGGAUCACAGCCAUAGUUUUAUCAAGCACUGAGUUUCCUAACUUUGCUAGGCAGUUAUUGUUUGACCCAGGAAAGUCAUCUAUGUCUCAGCCUCCUCAUCUAUAAAAUACAGCCAAUCUGCCUUACAGGCUAGUUGUGAAGGAUAGGUGCCUAAAAUAUAAUAGGCCAAUGUAAGUGUGUGUUGUUACUCUUUUUGAUAAUAAGCCUCAUUUUAUUUGGCUAAUAUGUAAAAUACGAGAUCCAAUAGGUAAGACUAUUUCUGCCAUAAAAUUACCUUAAAUUAGAAACCAGUAAUCAUGUAUGCACAUGCCAAAAUAUGACUGCUUCGGCAAGUGACAAAUUUGCAUAUACAAUGAUUUUAAUCAAAGGCAC
Molecule: long non-coding RNA, 748 nt
Filed under: Mustela putorius furo (domestic ferret)
Lineage: Eukaryota; Metazoa; Chordata; Mammalia; Carnivora; Mustelidae
Description: lncRNA (ENSMPUG00000028410.1)
Source: RNAcentral